UCCCCUCUCUUGAAUCAGCAUGUUACUUAACGUACAGUUUUGUAAUAAGCCACUUCAAGAGAUGAUCUUGUUGAAAAUUGCUUUUUAUGUAUACCUGAUUUUUGGUUUCAAUCCCUGCACCAGCUCACUGGGUGUUUGCACAAGCUUCAGUGCUGGUCUAGCAGAGGGACUCAAGACAUGCAGCUGAAGGCAGAAGCGGAAAAUAAGCUUCUCCUUCAUUGAGUAAAUGUGGCUAGUGCAUUUACUCCAGACAGGGGAAAGCUGAACUGAGUUCCUUCCUCUUCGGGAGACAGACAUUAAGCUUCUAAACAGAGUACCAUAAAUACCCAGCCCUCAGCAGAAGUCCCAGUUGAAAGGACCCCAGAAUGCUGAAAGACCUUCACCCUGGCACUUUUACAAAU
This is a long non-coding RNA of Tyto alba (common barn owl), 401 nucleotides long. RefSeq lists it as uncharacterized. NCBI's taxonomy places the organism in Eukaryota, Metazoa, Chordata, Aves, Strigiformes, Tytonidae. The transcript has 3 exons. The record is from RefSeq and is a predicted model, not a curated record.